UGGCUUUCGAUUGUUACUGUGGGAACUGGAGGUAACAGUCUACAGCCAUGGUCGCCCCGCAGCACGCCCACGCGC
This 75-nucleotide microRNA precursor is filed under the name Saimiri boliviensis boliviensis (Bolivian squirrel monkey). RNAcentral describes it as "microRNA 132 (ENSSBOG00000018413.1)". The stretch from base 1 to 64 matches the Rfam family "mir-132 microRNA precursor family", at positions 15 to 84 of the family's 84-position model. Lineage: Eukaryota; Metazoa; Chordata; Mammalia; Primates; Cebidae. The record is from RNAcentral.